GAUGAACGCUGGCGGCGUGCCUAAUACAUGCAAGUCGAGCGAACAGAUGAGGAGCUUGCUCCUCUGACGUUAACGGCGGACGGGUGAGUAACACGUGGAUAACCUACCUAUAAGACUGGGAUAACUUCGGGAAACCGGAGCUAAUACCGGAUAAUAUAUUGAACCGCAUGGUUCAAUAGUGAAAGACGGUUUUGCUGUCACUUAUAGAUGGAUCCGCGCCGCAUUAGCUAGUUGGUAAGGUAACGGCUUACCAAGGCAACGAUGCGUAGCCGACCUGAGAGGGUGAUCGGCCACACUGGAACUGAGACACGGUCCAGACUCCUACGGGAGGCAGCAGUAGGGAAUCUUCCGCAAUGGGCGAAAGCCUGACGGAGCAACGCCGCGUGAGUGAUGAAGGUCUUCGGAUCGUAAAACUCUGUUAUUAGGGAAGAACAAAUGUGUAAGUAACUAUGCACGUCUUGACGGUACCUAAUCAGAAAGCCACGGCUAACUACGUG
Molecule: ribosomal RNA, 497 nt
Filed under: uncultured bacterium
Lineage: Bacteria
Description: partial 16S ribosomal RNA
Rfam family: Bacterial small subunit ribosomal RNA
Source: RNAcentral